UUAAGCGACUAAGCGUACACGGUGGAUGCCCUGGCAGUCAGAGGCGAUGAAGGACGUGCUAAUCUGCGAUAAGCGUCGGUGAGGUGAUAUGAACCGUUAUAACCGGCGAUUUCCGAAUGGGGAAACCCAGUGUGUUUCGACACACUAUCAUUAACUGAAUCCAUAGGUUAAUGAGGCGAACCGGGGGAACUGAAACAUCUAAGUACCCCGAGGAAAAGAAAUCAACCGAGAUUCCCCCAGUAGCGGCGAGCGAACGGGGAGGAGCCCAGAGCCUGAAUCAGUGUGUGUGUUAGUGGAAGCGUCUGGAAAGGCGCGCGAUACAGGGUGACAGCCCCGUACACAAAAAUGCACAUACUGUGAGCUCGAUGAGUAGGGCGGGACACGUGGUAUCCUGUCUGAAUAUGGGGGGACCAUCCUCCAAGGCUAAAUACUCCUGACUGACCGAUAGUGAACCAGUACCGUGAGGGAAAGGCGAAAAGAACCCCGGCGAGGGGAGUGAAAAAGAACCUGAAACCGUGUACGUACAAGCAGUGGGAGCCUCUUAAUGGGGUGACUGCGUACCUUUUGUAUAAUGGGUCAGCGACUUAUAUUCUGUAGCAAGGUUAACCGAAUAGGGGAGCCGAAGGGAAACCGAGUCUUAACUGGGCGUUAAGUUGCAGGGUAUAGACCCGAAACCCGGUGAUCUAGCCAUGGGCAGGUUGAAGGUUGGGUAACACUAACUGGAGGACCGAACCGACUAAUGUUGAAAAAUUAGCGGAUGACUUGUGGCUGGGGGUGAAAGGCCAAUCAAACCGGGAGAUAGCUGGUUCUCCCCGAAAGCUAUUUAGGUAGCGCCUCGUGAAUUCAUCUCCGGGGGUAGAGCACUGUUUCGGCAAGGGGGUCAUCCCGACUUACCAACCCGAUGCAAACUGCGAAUACCGGAGAAUGUUAUCACGGGAGACACACGGCGGGUGCUAACGUCCGUCGUGAAGAGGGAAACAACCCAGACCGCCAGCUAAGGUCCCAAAGUCAUGGUUAAGUGGGAAACGAUGUGGGAAGGCCCAGACAGCCAGGAUGUUGGCUUAGAAGCAGCCAUCAUUUAAAGAAAGCGUAAUAGCUCACUGGUCGAGUCGGCCUGCGCGGAAGAUGUAACGGGGCUAAACCAUGCACCGAAGCUGCGGCAGCGACACUAUGUGUUGUUGGGUAGGGGAGCGUUCUGUAAGCCUGUGAAGGUGGCCUGUGAGGGUUGCUGGAGGUAUCAGAAGUGCGAAUGCUGACAUAAGUAACGAUAAAGCGGGUGAAAAGCCCGCUCGCCGGAAGACCAAGGGUUCCUGUCCAACGUUAAUCGGGGCAGGGUGAGUCGACCCCUAAGGCGAGGCCGAAAGGCGUAGUCGAUGGGAAACAGGUUAAUAUUCCUGUACUUGGUGUUACUGCGAAGGGGGGACGGAGAAGGCUAUGUUGGCCGGGCGACGGUUGUCCCGGUUUAAGCGUGUAGGCUGGUUUUCCAGGCAAAUCCGGAAAACCAAGGCUGAGGCGUGAUGACGAGGCACUACGGUGCUGAAGCGACAAAUGCCCUGCUUCCAGGAAAAGCCUCUAAGCAUCAGGUAACAUCAAAUCGUACCCCAAACCGACACAGGUGGUCAGGUAGAGAAUACCAAGGCGCUUGAGAGAACUCGGGUGAAGGAACUAGGCAAAAUGGUGCCGUAACUUCGGGAGAAGGCACGCUGAUAUGUAGGUGAAGCGACUUGCUCGUGGAGCUGAAAUCAGUCGAAGAUACCAGCUGGCUGCAACUGUUUAUUAAAAACACAGCACUGUGCAAACACGAAAGUGGACGUAUACGGUGUGACGCCUGCCCGGUGCCGGAAGGUUAAUUGAUGGGGUUAGCGGCAACGCGAAGCUCUUGAUCGAAGCCCCGGUAAACGGCGGCCGUAACUAUAACGGUCCUAAGGUAGCGAAAUUCCUUGUCGGGUAAGUUCCGACCUGCACGAAUGGCGUAAUGAUGGCCAGGCUGUCUCCACCCGAGACUCAGUGAAAUUGAACUCGCUGUGAAGAUGCAGUGUACCCGCGGCAAGACGGAAAGACCCCGUGAACCUUUACUAUAGCUUGACACUGAACAUUGAGCCUUGAUGUGUAGGAUAGGUGGGAGGCUUUGAAGUGUAGACGCCAGUCUGCAUGGAGCCGACCUUGAAAUACCACCCUUUAAUGUUUGAUGUUCUAACGUUGGCCCGUAAUCCGGGUUGCGGACAGUGUCUGGUGGGUAGUUUGACUGGGGCGGUCUCCUCCUAAAGAGUAACGGAGGAGCACGAAGGUUGGCUAAUCCUGGUCGGACAUCAGGAGGUUAGUGCAAUGGCAUAAGCCAGCUUGACUGCGAGCGUGACGGCGCGAGCAGGUGCGAAAGCAGGUCAUAGUGAUCCGGUGGUUCUGAAUGGAAGGGCCAUCGCUCAACGGAUAAAAGGUACUCCGGGGAUAACAGGCUGAUACCGCCCAAGAGUUCAUAUCGACGGCGGUGUUUGGCACCUCGAUGUCGGCUCAUCACAUCCUGGGGCUGAAGUAGGUCCCAAGGGUAUGGCUGUUCGCCAUUUAAAGUGGUACGCGAGCUGGGUUUAGAACGUCGUGAGACAGUUCGGUCCCUAUCUGCCGUGGGCGCUGGAGAACUGAGGGGGGCUGCUCCUAGUACGAGAGGACCGGAGUGGACGCAUCACUGGUGUUCGGGUUGUCAUGCCAAUGGCACUGCCCGGUAGCUAAAUGCGGAAGAGAUAAGUGCUGAAAGCAUCUAAGCACGAAACUUGCCCCGAGAUGAGUUCUCCCUGAGACUUAGAGUCUCCUGAAGGAACGUUGAAGACGACGACGUUGAUAGGCCGGGUGUGUAAGCGCAGCGAUGCGUUGAGCUAACCGGUACUAAUGAACCGUGAGGCUUAACCUU
Molecule: ribosomal RNA, 2902 nt
Filed under: Escherichia coli KTE186
Lineage: Bacteria; Pseudomonadati; Pseudomonadota; Gammaproteobacteria; Enterobacterales; Enterobacteriaceae
Description: bacterial LSU rRNA
Rfam family: Bacterial large subunit ribosomal RNA
Source: RNAcentral